Molecule: RNase P RNA, 380 nt
Filed under: pig gut metagenome
Description: Bacterial RNase P class A
Rfam family: Bacterial RNase P class A
About the family: Ribonuclease P (RNase P) is a ubiquitous endoribonuclease, found in archaea, bacteria and eukarya as well as chloroplasts and mitochondria. Its best characterised activity is the generation of mature 5'-ends of tRNAs by cleaving the 5'-leader elements of precursor-tRNAs.
Source: RNAcentral
GUCGGACGGUCCGUCGCCGGUCACCCCGCGUGGCCGGAGGAAAGUCCGGGCAACACAGAGCGCCAUUCUUUUUAACGGAAAGCUGCGGGCGACCGCAGGGACAACGUGACAGAGAACAACCGCCGGAGCCCCUCGCGCAGGGAUUUCGGCAAGGGUGAAAAGGCGGGGUAAGAGCCCACCGGGCACCACCGCGAGAUGGUGUGCCGCACGUCCAAUGGGUUGCAAGGUCAAGUAUACCGGCAUCUAAGGGCUGCUCGUCCAUUGCCGGGGGGUAGACUGCUGCAGAAGAAAUUUUGUUAGCGACCGUGGCAACACGGCGUAUAGAUAAAUGACGGACCGGCAAGCAAUUGUCGACAUAACCCGGCUUACAGUCCGGCUGC